RNAcentral lists this long non-coding RNA (459 nucleotides) under Homo sapiens (human). Its description in RNAcentral is "HSALNT0106876". The record is from RNAcentral. Lineage: Eukaryota; Metazoa; Chordata; Mammalia; Primates; Hominidae.
CUCAGCCUGGAGCAAAAUAUUGUCCCCGGUUGGGGAGAGGAGGAUCACCCUGCCAUACCUCCCAGGGGUGUGUAAGUCCGAAUAGAGCUGGCUUUUGGACUGGUCCAGGGGGAAAAGGCUGCUGGCCAGGCUGCGCUCGAUCUUGGCCAGGCUGUGGCUGGGAGCGACCAGGCGCUCCAGGUCGCCCUCGGGCUGGAAGCGGUUGAGCGCGCUGAGGCCGAAGGUGAUUGUCAGGACUGCGGGCACGGUGAGGAAAAAGACCGGGUGCCGGCUCACGCACAAACCCAGCCUGUGGCAGAACGACUGGAGCCCUCUGCGAAGCACCUGCCGCAGCAUCCUCCACCAGAUCCAGCUCGCAGGCGCUCCCGGCCGUCUUAAAAAGCACAUGUGACAUGUGUAGGAUGAUGCUGCAUUUUUAACACACCACACAGCAUGCAAGGGAUUUCCUCGCAACACCUU